RNAcentral lists this transfer RNA (71 nucleotides) under Loxodonta africana (African savanna elephant). It matches the Rfam family "tRNA". From Rfam's summary of the family: Transfer RNA (tRNA) molecules are approximately 80 nucleotides in length. The record is from Rfam by way of RNAcentral. Lineage: Eukaryota; Metazoa; Chordata; Mammalia; Proboscidea; Elephantidae.
UCACUGGUGGUUCAGUGGUAGAAUCCUCUCCUUCCAUGGGGGAGACCUGGGUUCAGUUCCCAACCAGUGUA